This is a long non-coding RNA of Octopus bimaculoides (California two-spot octopus), 2707 nucleotides long. NCBI's taxonomy places the organism in Eukaryota, Metazoa, Mollusca, Cephalopoda, Octopoda, Octopodidae. The record is from RefSeq and is a predicted model, not a curated record.
GAGAGGUGGUAGUGUGAGUAUGCUGCAAUAAAAUAACAGCCAGACUAUGAAGAGGCAACUGAGAGAAACUAUGCUCCAUUAUCAGUAGAACAGGAACACUCUGUGGAAGAAGUUUGGCUGCAAUAGCUUCCUGGUUGAGUGACCCUGUACAAGCUCCUAAAUCAAAAAGCUAGAUUUUUACCAACUAUUUUGGUAUUUUUUACAGCACAUUUUCAUUUUAUCUUAAAAAAAUAAAAUAAAUAUCAAAUAACUGUCGUAAUAAAACGAUAUUUAAAAAAAAAACACCGGACAUUUUGCCUUAGGAAUAAAAUUUAGUAAAGGAACUACAUCUAGAAAUGUAUAUUGAAAUGAGAAAAAGACCAAGUAUUGACUUCUGCACUUUUUCUUUACUCAUUUACUAUGUACGAAAAUCUGAUGAUAAAGGGCAUGUCUCAGUGAAAACCUAUCUCCUUCGGUGGACCAGAGGUUAUCUUGACUGCAGAGAUGAAGCUUACCUACACCGAAAUGUUAUGUGUGAAUGCAUUUGAUUGGUUGGUAUCGAGGUUAAAUUCUUCAACUAUUGAUCAAACCAAUUAGUGCUUUGAAAGAGAUUUUAUACAUGAAAAAUAACCAUGUUUAAAUUUUUUUCUUUGCUGAUUUUUUUUAUAAAGAUAAUGACCAUCACUUACUUCUCAAUAGUCAGUUAUUUUCAGUAGAUAUCUGAACUGAAAGAGAUUAAUGACUGAUAUUUGCCAUAUUUAAUUAGUUACAAAUAAUUUAAAGUUAAUGGAACUAAAAAAUUUAUUAUGCUGAACUUCAUUAGGAUUUACAAAUUUUAUGACUAAUUUGAUAUCAAAGGAUAUCUCAGAUAAAUCUACAUGAUUACUAUUAUCAUUGUAAAGGUUAAUUUUUUUGUAUAUAAUAAGGUUUAUUUCACUGGAUACUAAAGGCAUGAUCUCUGAGUAAAGAUGUGUUUAAAAAAAGGAUCUAUAAUUUUUCACUGUUUAAGAUAAUCAGAUACCAAAUGAAUGUUGUUAAUGAAAAUCUUCUGCAAGAGUGACCUAAAGUGUUUCUAGCUUUUUACAAUUAAAAGAGUAGAACAGGAAAGAAUUGAAAAGCACUGUGAAUGAUUUUCAUUGUUAUUGAUAAUGUUGUUGUCAUUCCUUGUGUUAUUAUUUACACAAACUUCAUAGGUUAAAGUGAUUUAUUUACAUUACUGAAAAAUCACUUAUUCUGUCUACUUUUACUUAAUGAACAAUGAAAGAAGAAAAACCAAUAAGAACAAUGCAACUGAACAGAGGAUACAUUUCAUGUUUAUGAUUUCCAAAUUUUGUGAAACAAUGAGACUCAAGUGAUUUAAACAAUAUUUUAUUACUACCACUUCUUUUGGAACCAGCUGUACUUCAUACUAAUUCCAACAUCCUAUAUUUUGUGAUAUACAUACCUAUACACAGAGAAGGUGAGGAGAAAGACUAUGAGAGACAUAUACAUACAUAUAAGCAUGCAUCCUCACAUUUAUCCAUCAGUAAAAUACCAAACUGGAAAAACAAAUCUUUACUGUAAUAUGGAUGAUGUGCAGUGGAAGCAAGCAAAUAAUUUAAAACUGCUUGAUUUCUACAGGAGGUCAUGUAAUUCCAUUUGCAUUACUAAUGCUCUUUGGAAAAUGAUGAACAUCACACGCUCUUUAUAUCCCCACUGUACAGACAUAAUUUGUUAUGUGUCUAGCAUUUUCUCUGCUUAGAAUUUUUGCUAACCAAAAAAGAGAGAUCUCAGUGAAAUACUGAUUUAGAAAAAUUAGUUCAAUAUCAGCAAGCAAAGAUUUAAAUCUUCAUCGAUAUUUUAAUUUAUGCUUCUCUGUGCUGGCAGGCCUUGGUUGAGUCUACCACACACUAUAUCACCAACCAACUCAAUAUUCUGAGAUGUCAUUGAGGCCCACAAGAAGGACCAUCUUAGCAGCAUUAUAGGCCCCAGGGCAAAGCAAUGCACUGGGUCCUAUAGUAUUUGUUUAUUGGCAGCAAUCAACAGCAUACAUAGAUCAGAAGUGGGACCCUUGGGCAACUGCAUACAAACCCACAAUGAGAUCUAACCUCACCACUUUGUCUAAUGUCUUCCUCUGUCAAAAGUACUCUUCACUGAUAGUAUAUGUUAUUGAUGAUGUUGUCAUUCCUGGUGUUCAUAUUUACAUGAACUCCAUAGGUUAAAGUGAUUUAUUUACAUUACUGAAGAAUCACUUAUUCUGUCUACUCUUAUUUAAUGAGCAAUGAAAGAAAAAAAAAACUAAUAAAAACAACGUAACUGAACAGAGGACACAUUUUAUGUUUAUGAUUUCCAAAUUUUGCGAAACAAUGGGGCUGUUAUACAUAUGGCAUUUUUCUAAUAUGGCUGUUAUUCAUAUGAUUGUUAUACGUAUGGCACUUUUCUAACCUGGUUGUUAUACAUCCACUUGCACUUUAAUUGCAGCAGCUGUACUAGUUUUUAUAGUUCAAUGAAAAGCAUAUUAAAGUUUCUUGCUACUGCUGUAGUAGUUUUAGUAUACAAAUAAAAUUAUAAGUUUUACAAUCAACAAAUGAGGUGGAGGAGCUCAAACAAAUGCUGGGAUGUUUUCUUUCUGACAUUCUAAUAGUAUAAAUUUAAGGAAUCACUAUUCUACUCUCAGAAAUAUUUUAAGAUAUUCAUGUGAUUCACUGAAAUGACAAUGAUAAACAAAAGAAAGAAAGAAAGAAAGAAA